This is a long non-coding RNA of Trifolium pratense (red clover), 554 nucleotides long. RefSeq lists it as uncharacterized. The record is from RefSeq and is a predicted model, not a curated record. The transcript is spliced from 2 exons. Lineage: Eukaryota; Viridiplantae; Streptophyta; Magnoliopsida; Fabales; Fabaceae.
AAAAAAAAAGCUCUUUCAUUGAGUUUUGUUUUGGAGAAGGUAGAAGAAGAUCGAUGAACAAUCCCACAAGCCUCAAUCCCUCUUCUUCUCUACACUAUACAUCUUUAAUCCAUCUUCUAGGAUUAGAGAGAAAGAGAUGGGUUGUUGUUGAAGAUGAAGAUCAUGGGUCACUAUGUUUGAAGAAGAUGAAGAUGAAAGAGGGUUUGAUGAACUUUGAAUAAUGAGAUGAAGAUUUAAGGGUUAAAUAUUUUUUGUUUUAUAAAAAUUAGUUUGUGUUUUUUUUUUGAAGCAAAAAAAAAAUUAGUUUUUUUAAAAAAAAAAAUUAAUAGGUAAUAUAUUUAUCUAUAUGUCAAUAAUUAAAUUAAUAAAAAAUAAAUUAAAAUCCACACAUGCAUGCCAUGUCAUAAAAAAAAUAAGAUUCCAUGUCCAGUUGGCACUUAGGGGGGUAAACGAUGGAAUCUUGGUAUUACAGGGGGGUGAUCACAAUUAUUUUUUUUGCAGGGGGGUAAGACAAAACUCUCAUAUUUUGCAGGGGGUAAAACCCUAUUUACCCU